Molecule: non-coding RNA, 99 nt
Rfam family: Bacterial small signal recognition particle RNA
About the family: The signal recognition particle (SRP) is a universally conserved ribonucleoprotein involved in the co-translational targeting of proteins to membranes. Archaeal SRP consists of a 7S RNA and homologues of the eukaryotic SRP19 and SRP54 proteins.
Source: Rfam
GGCCGGCCGCCAUGCAACUGACGGCCGGGAACCUCGUCAGGUCCGGAAGGAAGCAGCGAUAACCGGUGCAGGCAGUGUCAUGGAUCGUUCCCGGUCUUG